This 506-nucleotide ribosomal RNA is filed under the name uncultured bacterium. Its description in RNAcentral is "bacterial SSU rRNA". It matches the Rfam family "Bacterial small subunit ribosomal RNA", at positions 8 to 518 of the family's 1533-position model. The record is from RNAcentral.
AGAGUUUGAUCCUGGCUUAGGAUGAACGCUGGCGGCGUGCUUAACACAUGCAAGUCGAACGGAGCUUAGAAGGAAGCUUGCUUCAUUUAAGCUUAGUGGCGGACGGGUGAGUAACGCGUGAGCAACCUACCCUCGAGUGGGGAAUAACAUCGAGAAAUCGGUGCUAAUACCGCAUAAAGUCGAGAGACCGCAUGAUCUUUCGACCAAAGGAUUUAUUCGCUUGAGGAUGGGCUCGCGUCCGAUUAGCUAGUUGGUGAGGUAACGGCCCACCAAGGCUUCGAUCGGUAGCCGAACUGAGAGGUUGAUCGGCCACAUUGGGACUGAGACACGGCCCAGACUCCUACGGGAGGCAGCAGUGGGGAAUAUUGGGCAAUGGGCGAAAAAGCCUGACCCAGCAACGCCGCGUGAAGGAUGAAGGUCUUCGGAUUGUAAACUUCUUUGAUUGGGGAAGAAUAAAAUGACCUACCCAAAGAACAAGCCACGGCUAACUACGUGCCAGCCGCGGC